CGACGCUGGCGGCGUGCUUAACACAUGCAAGUCGAACGGAGAUUAUUAAUGAAGCUUGCGAUUUAAUAAUCUUAGUGGCGGACGGGUGAGUAACGCGUGGGCAACCUACCCAUAAGCGGGGGAUAACAGUUGGAAACGACUGCUAAUACCGCAUAAGCUAUUAAGGUCACAUGACCUUAAUAGUAAAGGUGGCGAUUUUACAUUGCUAUCGCUUAUGGAUGGGCCCGCGUCUGAUUAGCUAGUUGGUGGGAUAGCAGCCUACCAAGGCAACGAUCAGUAGCCGGCCUGAGAGGGUGGACGGCCACACUGGGACUGAGACACGGCCCAGACUCCUACGGGAGGCAGCAGUGGGGAAUAUUGCGCAAUGGGGGAAACCCUGACGCAGCGACGCCGCGUGAGCGAAGAAGGCCUUAGGGUCGUAAAGCUCUGUUGUAAGGGACGAAUGUUUAUCUGGCGAACAGUCAGAUAAAGUGACGGUACCUUACCAGCAAGCCCCGGCUAACUACGUG
RNAcentral lists this ribosomal RNA (509 nucleotides) under uncultured bacterium. RNAcentral describes it as "bacterial SSU rRNA". It matches the Rfam family "Bacterial small subunit ribosomal RNA", at positions 32 to 507 of the family's 1533-position model. The record is from RNAcentral.